UACGUAGGGUGCGAGCGUUGCCCGGAUUUAUUGGGCGUAAAGGGCGCGUAGGCGGCCACGCACGUCCGUUGUGAAAUCGCCCGGCUCAACUGGGCGGGGUCAGCGGAUACGGUGUGGCUCGAGCAAGCUAGGGGGCAAUGGAAUUCCCGGUGUAGUGGUGGAAUGCGUAGAUAUCGGGAGGAACACCAGUGGCGAAGGCGGCUACCUGGACCAGCACUGACACUGAGGCACGAAAGCGUGGGGAGCAAACAGG
Molecule: ribosomal RNA, 253 nt
Filed under: uncultured bacterium
Lineage: Bacteria
Description: partial 16S ribosomal RNA
Rfam family: Bacterial small subunit ribosomal RNA
Source: RNAcentral